GGCCCUGUGGGACCUCCCGGAGAGAAAGGACCAUUGGGUCCCCGAGGUCCGCCAGGCAUACAAGGCCCACCUGGACAAUCCGGUCAGGAUGGUUUGCCAGGAAAUCCAGGUGAAAGAGGGCCUCCUGGAAAACCGGGUGCUUCUCCAUUGCUUUCUCCUGGUGACAUCAGCCUCUUAGUUAAGGAUGUAUGCAGUGACUGCCCCCCCGGACCACCUGGGCUCCCUGGAAUGCCAGGAUUCAAGGGUGAUAAAGGCACCC
Molecule: long non-coding RNA, 259 nt
Organism: Gekko japonicus
Lineage: Eukaryota; Metazoa; Chordata; Lepidosauria; Squamata; Gekkonidae
Exons: 5
Source: RefSeq, a predicted model, not a curated record